GCAACUGAACAGGCUGUUGUUGAUUACGCCGUCGCUUUCCCGACACAUGGUCAGCACCGGGCCAGCAACGAACUGCGUAAACAGGGGGUUUUUAUCUCCGACAGUGGUGUCCGUUCUGUCUGGUUACUCCAUAACCUUGAGAAUCUCAAAAGACGAUACUGAACAAAUUUUAUCAGGUGACGUUCCGUAAAAAGUUGUAUGGAGUUCUCGAUGCAGUCGGCGCGACUAUCAGUACCCCCGCUGAACCCUGGACUAUCGGGCCGCCGUACUGGGGCAUGUCACCCUGGCGUGCCGCUGGUUUUCCGCUAAUGGUUUAUUUCCUCUUUCUUUCCCGGCAAGAAUUUAUUUUAAUCCGGAAGGAUUAUUUAUUUUCAGAUAGGGACUCACAUUAAACACGUAACAUUUUAAUUAAUGCAUGGCUGAAUAUGUAUUACACAAUGUCAGAUAUCGUAAAAGACCAGUGCAAUUCUAUGUAAACUCUCUGACUGUUCAUUUUAUUUGUUGUUUCAGGGUCGGAACUCACCCUCAAUAAACAACUGAAUACGAGUAGAUAUUCAUCGUCUGAGCUAUAUGGCUUUACACAAUAGCCGACAUGUCUUUUCUCAGUCAGGAAUUUUACUUUUCCUCACUACGAAGUUGACGACUUCGAUAUGGGAUAGACUCUUAAUUCAAGCAAUUACUCUGCACAAGCAUCAGGCAAUCCAGCUCCAAUAUUUGUUAUAAAAUAAUGCGUAACAUUAAUUUCACCAACAAAAAAAGGUUUACACCAUCCCCUUGCCCUGGUAUCUUACCAUAUUUACACCACACUUUUUUUGUAUCUGGAUCAUUCUUUGAUACGAUUUUCGCCACUUGUUCCCUGGCCCUCACUGUCAAUGUUUUCUUAAACCUCCCCCCAUCAUCAUUUGUUAGGGAAAAAUAAGAAAAAAAUAAUCAUCUUCUACAUUUGUGUAUAUUGAUAUAUCCACCGCUACGUGCGGAAAAAAAUCUGGGAGCCAUGUAAAAACUCCAUCAUUUUCUGGUAUUGCCAUAUAGUUUAUGUAAUGUUUACUUACAAGAGAUUCAUCUUUGUAUAAAUAAAGAUAAGUAAUUACGCAUAAAACAACAAUGAUUAUAAUAGCAAUAAUAAAUAUUAUCAUCUUUGAUAGAUUACUUGAGAUAGCCAGCAUCUUGUAAAGCCUUUAUCGUUUCUUUAUGCUCUGGAUUAAUAUAAUCACUACAUCUAUCUGAGCAAUCUGUUGUUGAUGGACAUGUCAACCCAUGGUCAUUUACAGCCAAGUCUUUUUUAUUAUCUUCAAUCAUUUCAGAAUGGGAUAGCUUUACUUUUCUGCCGUACAUACCGAACAGAUUUAACCCGUAAUCUCUAAUCUCUUUUUCAUAACCCAGCCCUUUCGCCGAUCGGCUAACACCAGCGUCAUUUAAUUUAGACACUCGACAAAAUGCCAUACAAUGGAAAAAUUGAUCAGUCCCACCUAAAUUUAAUCUCUUCAUAUCUUCAUAAGUAUCAGAUAAUAUAUCCCAUGCUCUUUGAUGGUUUAGUUGAUCUUUUCUUCUUAUUAGCGCUACAUCUGCGGGACUUAACCCUAAUGGAUCAAUACCAUUCACCGGAUUCAGCGGAUACGCAUACAGACUCCAUCCCCCCUCCAGCCCUAUCGGGUCCUGAGUGAUAUACCGCCCCUGCAACGGAUCGUAGUACCGGUUCCGGUUGUAGUACAGCCCCGACUCCUUAUCAUACUGCUGCCCCGGCAGCCGGUACGGCUGGUGCAGGUGAUGCGGGUUCUCCUCAUUCAGCUGGUUGCCCCAUUCAUCAUACUCCCCGCUCCACGCCGUAUUGCCGUCUUCGCUGAUGAGCGCCAGCGGCAGGCCCCGGUGGUCGCAGUGGUAAAGAUGAACUUUUCUCGCCGGUGUGUAUUCCGGCUCCACCUGUCUGGCCAGUUGCUCCACCGUCAGCCCGCACUGCGCAAGCCACGCCCGGCUUUCACUGCUCACGCGGUCUGCCCGGAUUUCUUCCUCCAGCCUGUCCA
This 2021-nucleotide ribosomal RNA is filed under the name Escherichia coli B102. RNAcentral describes it as "partial 23S ribosomal RNA". The record is from RNAcentral. Lineage: Bacteria; Pseudomonadati; Pseudomonadota; Gammaproteobacteria; Enterobacterales; Enterobacteriaceae.